UCUAGCACAGAAGAUAUGCUUGUUGCUGUAUGGCGUUGCCCCACCGGUUUAAAAACUUAGCCAGCACAGCUGGUUAAGCUAAAAUGAACUAGGAAACAUCUGGUAUCUAGAUGAAGUUGAGCGAGCUAAUACUUAAGUUAUUUAUUCGAGUACUAGUACUAACGUUAUAGUACCGUUACUAUCUUACAAGCGAAGGAAAAGUGCCAACGUUAGUUAGCUAGAAUGUUGUCGGUCAACAUACGCUAAACUGGCGAACAUUUCUACACCGUUACCCCGACACAGCCAUGGUGUGGAAAACCCGGUUACUCUACCGGGUAAGAAAACGUGUCCUAUGGAAAAUAUGUGAAGAGUCCCGGACGCAACGAGAGCCCCAAAGCCGGGCCUACCCGUCCCCAAUGUGUGUGAUAUCCCCGUCCCCAGGAUAGAGCAGUGGAAUGAGGCGCCAGUCGGCUGGACUGCUUACCUUGUUUGCUCUCUAUUUUCCCCGACAUUUCGUCGCCAGCAGUGAUUUCACUCGCAAUAAAAACAAGAAAAUGUCGCGCCGUGUCUCCCUCAAUUAUCUCCGCAUUGUCGUUUCACGCGUGUCCGUGAAGAUGAAUUCGCUGGAGCAAUUUUCACUGAGCGAGGAGCUGAGACCAACACAAGCACUACGGUGAACCGGGCGUCCUUCGACAUGGACAGCAGCGCCUCCUGGCGCCUGGAGUUAGCUACGUAAAUUGGUCAGCAAGCGGGUGGGUUUCAAUUUCAGUGGAAAGUGCCCCCUGUGGCUACGAUCUGUGAAGACUUUUGGGCUGCUCAGAGGUAGAAGGAGCAAUACAAUUUAACCAUUUAUAUAACAAUACUCUGACCAAAUACUAUAGGCAUAUAUAAUUGUUGACAGAUAUAUACUGGAUAUAUACUGGAUAUUUUACAAACUAAGUAUUGUAUAAGUAUUUUAUAUUAUAAGCCUUGUAAAGUAUAAUUAUGUACGAGGUCUCUGUCUGUCAACCCCGGUGGGCCUAACAAACCAGGCUAGCCUAUAUUAUCUUGGUUUAGUGACAAAAUAAAUUAACUCACAAAGCAGCAUGUCUAGCAUGAAAAAGUCAGUGUGUGAGAAUGCCCUUAUCUUCUUGUUCUGAAUAAUUGAUCUGACUGGCAGAGUAGAUCUGCAUUCCCUUCUGUCAGUGUUUAGUGAUCUGGAUCAUCCUUUAUCCACCCACGGCUAUCCCGAGGGGCCAAGGGAGAAGCCAUAGAAUUAGGAAUUAGAAUACCAAUACUAGUCAUUUAGGAGAAGCAUGGGGUGGAAUCUUGGACCUCAAGUGAAGAGGUUGACAUUGACCUGACUCAAGCUUUUCUCAAAAAUCUAAGCAUACCUUUGUUGUAUAGUACCUUGUCCUUCAAUGUGUGGAGUCAAUCUUAAUUGCAGCAGAAAUAUUCAUAGUGUGAGUGAGUGUGUAACAUGUCACAGGAAGCAGGUCUGCCCUCUGACUUUAGGGAAUGUAUGUCUCAAGGCUAUGGUGAGUGUUGAUGCAUGUAUGUGUGUGGCUGUGUACACUGUGUGUGUGGAAUGCAUUUGCUGAGGCUAUGGUGAAAUCACAGAGAGGAAAAACAGAACAAUGAGUUCCUGAGCAGAGACAGGCCUGUCAGGACAGGCUAGAGCUCUGCUCACUGACAUAAUAACUGGCCUCUAGUUGUAGUUCCUUCUCUAUGGGUGCCUCAACAUACAGCAAAGCCAAUGCCUCUGUCAGUUUCUUCACUGUAGCUGUAAGCUCCGCUGUUUACUCCAUAUCACUGAUUAGGCAAUGCAAUUUCAUACAAAUGUUUCAUUGGCUGCACACUAGUUUUGUUUGAUAGUGUCAACCACAAUAGCCCAAAGACUAGGACCAAGAGGCGUGGAGGGGUAGCCUUUAGUUACUAUACUCCCAGCCCCUGGAAGAGCCUGACAGAGAACCUGACGGGGGUCGAAACAGUGGACAUAUUUAAAAGAGAUCUUAAAACACACCUUUUUAGCUCUGCUUUUCCUUGGGGUGGUUUGUAGUCUUUCAGUUUUUAUUGUUAUUGUUAUUCUUUAGUUUUUUUAUCCUCUGAUGUUUGUUGUGUAGUAGAUAUUUCUGUUUUCAUUUAUAUAGUUUUUCAUGUUUUUUUUUCUUCAGUGAAGCGCAUUGCAUCUGUCUGAAUUGUGCAUCUGUCUGAAUUAUAAAUAAAGCUUGAUUUGAAUGUGA
Molecule: long non-coding RNA, 2201 nt
Organism: Oncorhynchus gorbuscha (pink salmon)
Lineage: Eukaryota; Metazoa; Chordata; Actinopteri; Salmoniformes; Salmonidae
Exons: 2
Source: RefSeq, a predicted model, not a curated record